Molecule: ribosomal RNA, 374 nt
Filed under: uncultured organism
Description: partial 16S ribosomal RNA
Rfam family: Bacterial small subunit ribosomal RNA
Source: RNAcentral
GUGGGUGGCAAGCGUUGUCCGGAAUUAUUGGGCGUAAAGCGCGCGCAGGCGGUCCUUUAAGUCUGAUGUGAAAGCCCACGGGCUCAACCGUGGAGGGUCAUUGGAAACUGGGGGACUUGAGUACAGAAGAGGAAAGCGGAAUUCCAAGUGUAGCGGUGAAAUGCGUAGAGAUUUGGAGGAACACCAGUGGCGAAGGCGGCUUUCUGGUCUGUAACUGACGCUGAGGCGCGAAAGCGUGGGGAGCAAACAGGAUUAGAUACCCUGGUAGUCCACGCCGUAAACGAUGAGUGCUAAGUGUUAGGGGGUUUCCGCCCCUUAGUGCAGCAGCUAACGCAUUAAGCACUCCGCCUGGGGAGUACGGCCGCAAAGGCUGA